RNAcentral lists this ribosomal RNA (492 nucleotides) under uncultured bacterium. RNAcentral describes it as "partial 16S ribosomal RNA". It matches the Rfam family "Bacterial small subunit ribosomal RNA", at positions 29 to 507 of the family's 1533-position model. The record is from RNAcentral.
AGUGAACGCUGGCGGUAGGCCUAACACAUGCAAGUCGAACGGCAGCACAGUAAGAGCUUGCUCUUACGGGUGGCGAGUGGCGGACGGGUGAGGAAUACAUCGUAAUCUACUUUUUCGUGGGGGAUAACGUAGGGAAACUUACGCUAAUACCGCAUACGACCUACGGGUGAAAGCAGGGGAUCUUCGGACCUUUCGCGAUUGAAUGAGCCGAUGUCGGAUUAGCUAGUUGGCGGGGUAAAGGCCCACCAAGGCGACGAUCCGUAGCUGGUCUGAGAGGAUGGUUGGCCACACUGGAACUGAGACACGGUCCAGAGUCCUACGGGAGGCAGCAGUGGGGAAUAUUGGGCAAUGGGGGGAAGCCUGAUACAGCCAUACCGCGUGGGUGAAGAAGGCCUUCCGGUUGUAAAGCCCUUUUGUUGGGAAAGAAAAGCAGCAGGUUAAUACCCCGCUGUUCUGACGGUAACCAAAGAAUAAGCACCGGCUAACUUCGUG